GAUGAACGCUGGCGGCGUGCCUAAUACAUGCAAGUCGAGCGAACAGACGAGGAGCUUGCUCCUCUGACGUUAGCGGCGGACGGGUGAGUAACACGUGGAUAACCUACCUAUAAGACUGGGAUAACUUCGGGAAACCGGAGCUAAUACUGGAUAAUAUAUUGAACCGCAUGGUUCAAUAGUGAAAGACGGUUUUGCUGUCACUUAUAGAUGGAUCCGCGCCGCAUUAGCUAGUUGGUAAGGUAACGGCUUACCAAGGCAACGAUGCGUAGCCGACCUGAGAGGGUGAUCGGCCACACUGGAACUGAGACACGGUCCAGACUCCUACGGGAGGCAGCAGUAGGGAAUCUUCCGCAAUGGGCGAAAGCCUGACGGAGCAACGCCGCGUGAGUGAUGAAGGUCUUCGGAUCGUAAAACUCUGUUAUUAGGAAAGAACAAAUGUGUAAGUAACUAUGCACGUCUUGACGGUACCUAAUCAGAAAGCCACGGCUAACUACGUG
Molecule: ribosomal RNA, 497 nt
Filed under: uncultured bacterium
Lineage: Bacteria
Description: partial 16S ribosomal RNA
Rfam family: Bacterial small subunit ribosomal RNA
Source: RNAcentral